Molecule: ribosomal RNA, 253 nt
Filed under: uncultured bacterium
Lineage: Bacteria
Description: partial 16S ribosomal RNA
Rfam family: Bacterial small subunit ribosomal RNA
Source: RNAcentral
UACGGAGGGAGCUAGCGUUGUUCGGAAUUACUAGGCGUAAAGCGCACGUAGGCGGCUUUGUAAGUUAGAGGUGAAAGCCUGGGGCUCAACUCCAGAACUGCCUUUAAAACUGCAUCGCUUGAAUCCAGGAGAGGUGAGUGGAAUUCCGAGUGUAGAGGUGAAAUUCGUAGAUAUUCGGAAGAACACCAGUGGCGAAGGCGGCUCACUGGACUGGUAUUGACGCUGAGGUGCGAAAGCGUGGGGAGCAAACAGG